RNAcentral lists this ribosomal RNA (253 nucleotides) under uncultured bacterium. Its description in RNAcentral is "partial 16S ribosomal RNA". It matches the Rfam family "Bacterial small subunit ribosomal RNA", at positions 524 to 776 of the family's 1533-position model. The record is from RNAcentral.
UACAGAGGCCCCAAGCGUUGUUCGGAUUUAUUGGGCGUAAAGGGUGCGUAGGCGGCGGAGUAAGUUGGGUGUGAAAUCCCGGGGCUCAACCUCGGAAUUGCAUUCAAUACUGCUUCGCUCGAGUACUGGAGAGGAGACUGGAAUUUACGGUGUAGCAGUGAAAUGCGUAGAUAUCGUAAGGAAGGCCGGUGGCGAAAGCGAGUCUCUGGACAGUUACUGACGCUGAUGCACGAAGGCCAGGGGAGCAAACGGG